UACGUAGGGCGCAAGCGUUGUCCGGAAUUAUUGGGCGUAAAGAGCUUGUAGGUGGCUUGUCGCGUCUGCCGUGAAAACCCGAGGCUCAACCUCGGGCGUGCGGUGGGUACGGGCUGACUAGAGUGCAGUAGGGGAGUCUGGAAUUCCUGGUGUAGCGGUGAAAUGCGCAGAUAUCAGGAAGAACACCGAUGGCGAAGGCAGGUCUCUGGGCCAUUACUGACACUGAGAAGCGAAAGCAUGGGGAGCGAACAG
This 252-nucleotide ribosomal RNA is filed under the name uncultured bacterium. RNAcentral's name for it is "partial 16S ribosomal RNA". It matches the Rfam family "Bacterial small subunit ribosomal RNA", at positions 524 to 775 of the family's 1533-position model. The record is from RNAcentral.